This 485-nucleotide ribosomal RNA is filed under the name uncultured bacterium. Its description in RNAcentral is "bacterial SSU rRNA". It matches the Rfam family "Bacterial small subunit ribosomal RNA", at positions 28 to 521 of the family's 1533-position model. The record is from RNAcentral.
GACGAACGCUGGCGGCGUGCCUAAUACAUGCAAGUCGAGCGGAUCUAAAGGAGCUUGCUCCUUUAGAUUAGCGGCGGACGGGUGAGUAACACGUGGGCAACCUGCCCUGCAGAUUGGGAUAACUCCGGGGAAACCGGGGCUAAUACCGAAUAAUAUCGAAGAUUUCAUGAUCUUCUUUUGAAAGACGGCUUACGCUGUCACUGCAGGAUGGGCCCGCGGCGCAUUAGCUAGNGGUGAGGUAACGGCUCACCAAGGCGACGAUGCGUAGCCGACCUGAGAGGGUGAUCGGCCACACUGGGACUGAGACACGGCCCAGACUCCUACGGGAGGCAGCAGUAGGGAAUCUUCCGCAAUGGACGAAAGUCUGACGGAGCAACGCCGCGUGAGUGAUGAAGGUUUUCGGAUCGUAAAACUCUGUUGUCAGGGAAGAUCGUGACGGUACCCGGCGAAUAAGCCACGGCUAACUACGUGCCAGCAGCCGCAGU